UACGAAGGGGGCUAGCGUUGCUCGGAAUCACUGGGCGUAAAGCGCACGUAGGCGGCUUUUUAAGUCAGGGGUGAAAUCCUGGAGCUCAACUCCAGAACUGCCUUUGAUACUGAGAGGCUCGAGUCCGGGAGAGGUGAGUGGAACUGCGAGUGUAGAGGUGAAAUUCGUAGAUAUUGGGAAGAACACCGGUGGCGAAGGCGGCUCACUGGCUCGUAACUGACGCUCAUGCACGACAGCGUGGGGAUCAAACAGG
Molecule: ribosomal RNA, 253 nt
Filed under: uncultured bacterium
Lineage: Bacteria
Description: partial 16S ribosomal RNA
Rfam family: Bacterial small subunit ribosomal RNA
Source: RNAcentral